UGGCCACAUGACGUUGAAACACCAGUUCUCGUAAGAUCAUUGAAGUAAAGCAGCAUCCUACCUGAUCAGUACCUAAAUGGGUGACCGCUUGGGAAUACCCGGUGUUGUAG
Acanthosepion pharaonis is the source of this 110-nucleotide non-coding RNA. The record is from the annotation of a GenBank genome assembly. Lineage: Eukaryota; Metazoa; Mollusca; Cephalopoda; Sepiida; Sepiidae.